This 550-nucleotide long non-coding RNA is filed under the name Anas platyrhynchos platyrhynchos (common mallard). RNAcentral's name for it is "lncRNA (ENSAPLG00000025774.1)". Lineage: Eukaryota; Metazoa; Chordata; Aves; Anseriformes; Anatidae. The record is from RNAcentral.
UGGCAGAAACAAGUCUUUGAGCGGGUAUAAGGAGCAAUCUAGCACCACAACGCAGACAAACCUCUUGGGUUCAACACAUCAUGGGGGUGAAUGUGGCAGCAACAAGGGAAAUGCACCUUCCCAAGCAUCAAUGGGGUCCAAGAGAACAUGUUUGAAAUGGAAGAGGGAAAAAAAAAAUCCUCUGGGUCUGCGUGUCAAGAAUGGAGAAAAAGAGGGAGGAAAGGUUAAAGCUGGAAGAGUGGAAAAGUUGACUGGGAGGAACAAGCCCGUUCGCUGCUCAGCGCCCUGCCCGUGCAGGUUGCAUGGUUGUGACCUGCUCCCCUGUGCUCCCUGCUGCCGAAGGAGGUCGGGAACCUGCUUUGGUCUCUGUUCUUCUGUGGCCACGUUCCCGACCCUUUGCCAAAGUGGGAACGCCUCUGAGUCGAGGCUGUGGGACUGCGCUCAUCCUGCCAAGCGCCCAGCUGGCUUGUCCUGUGGCAAGAGGGAAGUCUCCAUCGAGCCAAAGUGGCAUCUGUCAGGAUUCACGCUCUGGAAAAGAAGAUCAGGGUGA